UUGCCCCUGCUGUGUACGUGAUCAGACGGAAGCUGUUGAGCCAAUGAAAUCGUAACGGGAGUUCUUACCUACCGUGGACGGCAUGCCCCCUAAUCGGGGAUCCGAUAAGCGGCACAAGGACGCCCACCUUUCCGGGAAAGGUUCAACGAGAACCUCAACCGACACGGCAUGAGCGGGGGCAUC
This 183-nucleotide non-coding RNA is filed under the name Deltaproteobacteria bacterium. RNAcentral describes it as "6S RNA". It matches the Rfam family "6S / SsrS RNA". Rfam says of the family: E. coli 6S RNA was the first non coding RNA to be sequenced, but its function was unknown until recently. Lineage: Bacteria; Pseudomonadati; Myxococcota; Myxococcia. The record is from RNAcentral.